AGGUGAUGUUUUCUAGACCUAGAGCACAAAAACAAGAUAAAUUCGGUUGACCUUAUGAAUUUCUCUAUCAUGUGUGUUACCACUCUUACAAACCAGUUACCUACAGGUUAAUACUAUGUGUGCGUUUUUUUGGCUUUUUUUGCACAUAGAAUUUUCUACAACACUACACUAUUUUGUCCUUACACCUAAAAAAUGGCACCAGCCCUAACAUUAUCUCUAAAAAGUGAAUACAUAUGCGGGUGUCCAUGUAAAGAGCAAAUUCUCAGUUCAAGCUGCUUCGUUUGAUAUCCUUGCUCUCUGUUCCUUCUCUCUCUUUAUGGCUCAUGUGUUGUUAACAAAUUCAGGUAUUUGUAAUGUUAAUCAUACCAAUAUGCAUGUGCAGUACUUCGACACUAAGAAUGUUAGUUCCUAUUGUUACAACUGCUUUUCAUUUUAUUUUAAAUAGUUCUCGGUGUUUUAAUAUAGACAUACAAAAACCAAGCAAAUGAGCCUAUUACUCUGAACUCAAAAAGAAAUAACAAUUAUUCAUACAAUUACAUUUCGUCAGCAUUUUUUCCUCUGUUAACAGACAUCGAGCGAUUGUCACCGGUACACAACUCAAGCGAACAUGAAUGUGAAUGUGAAUUCAACCGCAGCAUGAAUUACUGAUCAUCGUCGCGUCCAACCUGAAGACCAGCAAAAAUCCAACCUGAAGACCAGCAAAAAAUAACCAUCCUUACAAGCAUGUCUGCCGCUCUCAUGUACUAUAGUAGUUCGACACUGCCAAAACCUAUUGUAAUAUCGGGUCUGCGCCCUACUAAUCUUGCACAAUG
Molecule: long non-coding RNA, 812 nt
Filed under: Sorghum bicolor (sorghum)
Lineage: Eukaryota; Viridiplantae; Streptophyta; Magnoliopsida; Poales; Poaceae
Description: long non-coding RNA (SBIC_LNC009332)
Source: RNAcentral